Terrapene triunguis (Three-toed box turtle) is the source of this 499-nucleotide long non-coding RNA. RefSeq lists it as uncharacterized. The record is from RefSeq and is a predicted model, not a curated record. NCBI's taxonomy places the organism in Eukaryota, Metazoa, Chordata, Testudines, Emydidae. The transcript has 4 exons.
GCUAAAAUAUCUGGACGAGAGAGACGGUGAACAGAACUGUCAACACCUGGCUACUGGGAGCGCCCCCUGUCUGAGUUCCUGGCCAACCUCCAGCCAUGAAGAUCCUUUACCUGCUCUCUGCUGUUGUCUUCUUGGUGCUCCUGACUGCCCCAGGAUUCUCCCAGGCUAGAUAUUCUCCAAAGAAAUGUAAACGCCGUGGUGGUUCCUGUUACCUUAGGGGAUGUCCCUCUAAUUCUGUGUACCUUGGAAAAUGCUGGAUUGGCUCUUGCUGUCAAAGGGAAUUUAUCUACUGAUUGUCUAGGCAGGAUCUCUGGGAAUCUGGCAGAGAUCCACUGGCUUCUAAAAUCAUCAGACCCUGGUUCAAUGGAACCCUGAAGUGCUGCUUAUUUGGGCUAUAAAUAACCUUGUGAGCUGGAGAAAUUCCAGAAAGAAGCUCUUGUAUCACCAUAUAAUAUUUGUUACUCUUCUUUUAAUAAAAGCAAGCUGGUUUAAGAUCAUA